RNAcentral lists this ribosomal RNA (191 nucleotides) under uncultured bacterium. RNAcentral describes it as "partial 16S ribosomal RNA". It matches the Rfam family "Bacterial small subunit ribosomal RNA", at positions 338 to 521 of the family's 1533-position model. The record is from RNAcentral.
CCUACGGGAGGCAGCAGUGGGGAAUAUUGAACAAUGGGCGCAAGCCUGAUCCAGCAAUGCCGCGUGUGUGAAGAAGGCCUGCGGGUUGUAAAGCACUUUCAGUAGAGAAGAAAAGCUCAAGGUUAAUACCCUUGCGUCUUGACGUAACCUACAGAAGAAGCACCGGCUAACUCCGUGCCAGCAGCCGCGGU